AGCGAACGUUUGCGGCGGGCUUAACACAUGCAAGUCGAACGAGAAUCCCUUCGGGGAGGAAAGUGGCGCACGGGUGCGUAACACGUGGAUAACCAACCCAUUGGUUUGGGACAACACCGGGAAACUGGUGCUAAUACCAGAUGUGUCGCAGCUGUCUUCAGGCGGUUGCGAGAAAGGCCCGCAAGGGUCGCCAACGGACGGGUCCGCGUCCCAUCAGCUAGUUGGUGAGGUAAUGGCUCACCAAGGCAAAGACGGGUAGCUGGUCUGAGAGGAUGAUCAGCCACACUGGAACUGAGACACGGUCCAGACUCCUACGGGAGGCAGCAGUGGGGAAUAUUGCGCAAUGGGCGAAAGCCUGACGCAGCCACGCCGCGUGAGCGAUGAAGGUCUUCGGAUCGUAAAGCUCUGUGGGGGGAGAAGAAGAAAGCCGGUGAAGAGCCGGCCCUGACGGUAUCCCCUUAGCAAGCACCGGCUAACUCCGUGCCAGCAGCCGCGUAAAGU
This 501-nucleotide ribosomal RNA is filed under the name uncultured bacterium. Its description in RNAcentral is "bacterial SSU rRNA". It matches the Rfam family "Bacterial small subunit ribosomal RNA", at positions 29 to 525 of the family's 1533-position model. The record is from RNAcentral.